Chelonoidis abingdonii (Abingdon island giant tortoise) is the source of this 299-nucleotide non-coding RNA. Lineage: Eukaryota; Metazoa; Chordata; Testudines; Testudinidae. The record is from RefSeq and is a predicted model, not a curated record.
AAAUAUUCUUAUUGUAUGAUAUUUUAUUAUAUGUACUAACAAGUUGAACAUACUGCUUUCCGUCUUUCAAACUAUGCAUAGAAUGCAGGUAACAUGAUUGCUCUUGGACUACCUAAUAAAGGAGGAUUCAUUCAUUUCUUCGCAACCUGAAAAGUUUGUGCAGAUUUAAUUUCUUAGUUUAUAUUAUUUAAUAACUUAGUCUAUAUAUUUAGGCUUGAAAGGGUUAGAUUUUUAUCAAUAAAUAUUGAUUUCACCAUAUACAGACGGGCAAAAAAAUAUUUCCAUUGAUAACUAAAGUU